Molecule: small RNA, 77 nt
Filed under: Arabidopsis thaliana (thale cress)
Lineage: Eukaryota; Viridiplantae; Streptophyta; Magnoliopsida; Brassicales; Brassicaceae
Description: ATSL290700
Source: RNAcentral
UCAGUUCCAUUUUUCGUGGGUCUUUUAGUGUUUCUGUUUUCUAUUUUUUUUUUUUUUUGUGUUUUUGUUUUCUUUGU